AACGAACGCUGGCGGCAUGCCUAACACAUGCAAGUCGAACGAGACCUUCGGGUCUAGUGGCGCACGGGUGCGUAACGCGUGGGAACCUGCCCUUAGGUUCGGAAUAACUCCCCGAAAGGGGUGCUAAUACCGGAUAAUGUCUUCGGACCAAAGAUUUAUCGCCUUUGGAUGGGCCCGCGUUGGAUUAGCUAGUUGGUAGGGUAAAAGCCUACCAAGGCGACGAUCCAUAGCUGGUCUGAGAGGAUGAUAAGCCACACUGGGACUGAGACACGGCCCAGACUCCUACGGGAGGCAGCAGUGGGGAAUAUUGGACAAUGGGCGAAGGCCUGAUCCAGCAAUGCCGCGUGAGUGAUGAAGGCCUUAGGGUUGUAAAGCUCUUUUACCCGGGAUGAUAAUGACAGUACCGGGAGAAUAAGCUCCGGCUAACUACGUG
Molecule: ribosomal RNA, 433 nt
Filed under: uncultured bacterium
Lineage: Bacteria
Description: partial 16S ribosomal RNA
Rfam family: Bacterial small subunit ribosomal RNA
Source: RNAcentral